CCCCUUCUACGGGGGGCAGCAGUUGAGAAUCAUUCACAAUGGGGGAAACCCUGAUGGUGCGACGCUGCGUGGGGGGAUGAAGGUCUUCGGAUUGUAAACCCCUGUCAUGUGGGAGCAAAUUAAAAAGAUAGUACCACAAGAGGAAGAGACGGCUAACUCUGUGCCAGCAGCCGCGGUAAUACAGAGGUCUCAAGCGUUGUUCGGAAUCACUGGGCGUAAAGCGUGCGUAGGCUGUUUCGUAAGUCGUGUGUGAAAGGCGCGGGCUCAACCCGCGGACGGCACGUGAUACUGCGAGACUAGAGUAA
This 305-nucleotide ribosomal RNA is filed under the name uncultured bacterium. Its description in RNAcentral is "bacterial SSU rRNA". It matches the Rfam family "Bacterial small subunit ribosomal RNA", at positions 333 to 649 of the family's 1533-position model. The record is from RNAcentral.